Molecule: ribosomal RNA, 305 nt
Filed under: Clostridioides difficile
Lineage: Bacteria; Bacillati; Bacillota; Clostridia; Peptostreptococcales; Peptostreptococcaceae
Description: bacterial LSU rRNA
Rfam family: Bacterial large subunit ribosomal RNA
Source: RNAcentral
UAUGAUCCAGAGUACCACGGGACACGUGAAACCCUGUGGGAAGCAGGAGGGACCACCCUCCAAGGCUAAAUACUACCUAGUGACCGAUAGCGUAUAGUACCGUGAGGGAAAGGUGAAAAGAACCCCGGGAGGGGAGUGAAAUAGAACCUGAAACCCUGCACUUACAAGCUGUGGAAGAACAUUUCUUGUGUGACCGCGUACUUUUUGUAGAACGGGCCAACGAGUUACGUUAAGUAGCAAGGUUAAGCACUUAAGGUGCGGAGCCGUAGCGAAAGCGAGUUUUAACUGAGCGUUCAGUUACUUGA